Cuculus canorus (common cuckoo) is the source of this 1552-nucleotide long non-coding RNA. RefSeq lists it as uncharacterized. Lineage: Eukaryota; Metazoa; Chordata; Aves; Cuculiformes; Cuculidae. The transcript is spliced from 3 exons. The record is from RefSeq and is a predicted model, not a curated record.
GUCAGGUUUCUCUAAUAAAGGUGUCGGCAGCAGGCAGACACCUCUGGAGGCAGCCAGCGUACCUUGCUGCUUCCCUUGGGAGAAGGCACUCCAGACCUGGACCAGCGACUUGGGUGCAGGAGGAGGAGAAGUCUUUAAUCAGAAGAAAAUCUGGCUUAUCCCUAAAGCCCAGGGUCUGAGCCUGUGCAGUGCAAACAGAAUCCUCCAGAGCCUCCGGGAGGAGAUUGCACAGAGACAAGCAAACACAUGGCUGUAGCUGUACGAGACGAGAGCUGCACGGCACAGCAACAACCAGGCGUAUUUAUGAUGAUCACAAAGAAAAGAUCACAACAAAUCCUGGCAAAAAAAAGGAAGCAAGAAGAGUGAGCCGAGCUACAGAUAAGAAGCAACAAAUCAGGAAUGGGAGGAAGAUAAUGGCUGUGAUUAAAAAUCAGAUGCUAUGAAAUGAAGAACAAUGGAUAUGAGAAGUAAAAGUAUCCAUUAAAAAAAAAUCCAUAGCCAAAUGUGUUAUGGACAACAGGAAAGCAUUCUAAAUUAUCUGGAACAAAAGAAAUUCUAGCAAAAUUACGAUGUCAUAGAUCUGGAUUUUGAUAGGUGCAGUAAUGCUGUCAAUAAUAAUGCAGAUGAGGCAGAAAAGCCCAAAACCUGCUCAGUGAAACGAUGAGGACAACAUAUUUCCAGCUCUCGGCCCCCAUCAUUCUCUAUUCCAAAGGCGAUUGCGUAGCAGCUACCAAAUUGUUCACAGUUUAAAAAAUGUUAAUCUGUAACCUUAAUUAACUGUAAUAAUUAUUAAUUUUUUAAAAGCUUGCAAUUAAUUUUUAAACUAGUUUUUCUCCGCAAGAUCGGCCAACUUGUUUCUAAAUUUGCAGAGGAAAUCACUAAAUAUUUUAAAAGAACGACAGAAUAAAGCUGAUUUGGGGAUGGGAUUCAGAAGAGAGUGGAAAAUGGGGCUGUGGGGCAUCCUUGACCUCCCCGUAAUGCUCAGUGCGCUGCUGUCUCCCUAAGCCUUCUCCGCUCUGUGCUUAAGUUCAGUCUUACAUUACAAACUACCCUCCUCUAUUUUCCUCCCAGCACCAACACGCAAUGCCUGCACGCUCUUCUUUGCCAAUGACACUGAGCUGUGUGGUGCAGUCAACAGGAUGGAGGGAAGGGAUGCAUCCAGAGGGACCUGGCCAGGCUGGAGAGGUGGGACUGUGUGAACCCAUGGAGUUCAAGGGCAAAGGCAAAGUUCAAGGCCAAGGGCGAAGUCCUACACCUGGGUCAGGGCAAUCUCAAGCACAAAUGCAGACUGGGCAGAGAAUGGAUUGGGAAGAGCCCUGAGGAGAAAGACUAGGGGUGCUGGGGGAUGAGAAACUCGACACGAGUCGGCUUGCAGCCAGAAACCAACCAUGUCCUGGGCUGUAUCCAAAGCAGUGGGAGCAGCAGGCUGAGGGAUGGGAUUUUGCCCCUCUGCUCUGCUCCGGUAAGACCCCACCUGGAGCCCUGUGUCCAGUUCUGGAGUUCUCAGGAAGGACUUGGAGCUCUUGGAGUGAGUCCAGCGGAGGCCGCAAAG